RNAcentral lists this unclassified non-coding RNA (331 nucleotides) under soil metagenome. RNAcentral's name for it is "partial contains 5.8S ribosomal RNA, internal transcribed spacer 2, and large subunit ribosomal RNA". The stretch from base 1 to 122 matches the Rfam family "5.8S ribosomal RNA", at positions 35 to 154 of the family's 154-position model. The record is from RNAcentral.
GAUGAAGAACGUAGCGAAAUGCGAUACGUAAUGUGAAUUGCAGAUCUCUCAGUGAACCAUCGAAUUUUUGAACGCACAUUGCGCCCCUUGGUAUCCCGAGGGGCAUGCCUGUUCGAGCGUCAUUUCACCACUCAAGCCUGGCUUGGUGUUGGGCGACGUCCCCUUUGGGGACGCGCCUCGAAACGCUCGGCGGCGUGGCACCGGCUUUAAGCGUAGCAGAAUCUUUCGCUUUGGAAGUCGGGGCCCCGUCUGCCGGAAGACCUACUCGCAAGGUUGACCUCGGAUCAGGCAGGGAUACCCGCUGAACUUAAGCAUAUCAAUAAGCGGAGGA